GAAUCCUACGGGACGCAGCAGUGAGGAAUAUUGGUCAAUGGGCGCGAGCCUGAACCAGCCAAGUCGGGUGAGGGAAGACGGUCCUAUGGAUUGUAAACCUCUUUUGUCGGGGAGCAAAAGACGCCACGUGUGGCGUUCCGAGAGUACCCGAAGAAAAAGCAUCGGCUAACUCCGUGUCAGCAGCCGCGGUAAUACGGAGGAUGCGAGCGUUAUCCGGAUUUAUUGGGUUUAAAGGGUGCGCAGGCGGAAGAUCAAUGCAGCGGUAAAAUUGAGAGGCUCAACCUCUUCGAGCCGUUGAAACUGGU
Molecule: ribosomal RNA, 305 nt
Filed under: uncultured bacterium
Lineage: Bacteria
Description: bacterial SSU rRNA
Rfam family: Bacterial small subunit ribosomal RNA
Source: RNAcentral